RNAcentral lists this ribosomal RNA (253 nucleotides) under uncultured bacterium. RNAcentral describes it as "partial 16S ribosomal RNA". It matches the Rfam family "Bacterial small subunit ribosomal RNA", at positions 524 to 776 of the family's 1533-position model. The record is from RNAcentral.
UACAGAGGGGGCAAGCGUUAUUCGGAAUUAUUGGGCGUAAAGGGCGCGUAGGCGGCUUGGCAAGUGGAUGGUGAAAUCCCUCAGCUUAACCGAGGAACUGCCGUCCAAACUGCUUCGCUUGAGACCGGGAGAGGUGAGUGGAAUUCCCAGUGUAGCGGUGAAAUGCGUAGAUAUUGGGAGGAACACCAGUGGCGAAGGCGGCUCACUGGACCGGUACUGACGCUGAUGCGCGAAAGCGUGGGGAGCAAACAGG